AGGGUUUGAUCAUGGCUCAGGACGAACGCUGGCGGCAUGCCUAACACAUGCAAGUCGAACGAGAAAGUUCCUUCGGGAGCAAUUAAAGUGGCGCACGGGUGAGUAACGCGUAGACAAUCUGCCCUUCAGUCUGGGACAACUUUUCGAGAGGAGAGCUAAUACCGGAUAACAAUGCAUGACACAAGUUGUAUAUUUGAAAGCUUUAUGUGCUGAAGGAGGGGUCUGCGUCCCAUUAGCUAGUUGGUAAGGUAAAGGCUUACCAAGGCAACGAUGGGUAGCGGGUUUGAGAGGACGAUCCGCCACACUGGAACUGAGACACGGUCCAGACUCCUACGGGAGGCAGCAGUGGGGAAUAUUGCACAAUGGAGGAAACUCUGAUGCAGCAAUGUCGCGUGAGUGAAGAAGGCCCUUGGGUCGUAAAGCUCUUUUAUGGGGGAAGAUGAUGACGGUACCCCAAGAAUAAGCACCGGCUAACUAUGUGCCAGCAGCCGCGGUAAUACAUAGGGUGCGAGCGUUGUUCGGAAUUACUGGGCGUAAAGGGCGCGCAGGCGGAAUAGUAAGUCGGAGGUGAAAGCCCGGGGCUCAACCCCGGAGGGUCUUUCGAAACUACUAAUCUAGAGAGGGUCAGGGGCCG
RNAcentral lists this ribosomal RNA (634 nucleotides) under uncultured bacterium. RNAcentral describes it as "bacterial SSU rRNA". It matches the Rfam family "Bacterial small subunit ribosomal RNA", at positions 8 to 660 of the family's 1533-position model. The record is from RNAcentral.